This is a long non-coding RNA of Gadus macrocephalus (Pacific cod), 389 nucleotides long. RefSeq lists it as uncharacterized. Lineage: Eukaryota; Metazoa; Chordata; Actinopteri; Gadiformes; Gadidae. The transcript is spliced from 2 exons. The record is from RefSeq and is a predicted model, not a curated record.
AACUAACCAAUUAACUCGCGGUACAGGGUUGUAACUAACCAAUUAACUCACGGUACAGGGCUGUAACUAACCAAUUAACUCACAUUACAGGUCUGUAACUAACCAAUUAACUCACGGUACAGGGCUGUAACUAACCAAUUAACUCACGUUACAGGUCUCAAAACGAACCAAUUAACUCACGUAAUAGUUCUCUAUUCCAAACGGAUCAAUUAACUCAUAUUAACUUAACGAAACAAUUAACUCACUUAAACAAACAAUCAUCUCUCACCUUACAGAACUCUAAAGAGACCAAUUAACGCACCUUACAAGUCUCUAAACAAACCAAUAUACCCUCACCUUACAGGUUUCUAAUCAGACCAAUUCAAUCACUGUACAGGUCUCAAAAUAAA